GGAAUCUUGAACAAUGGGCGCAAGCCUGAUCCAGCCAUGCCGCGUGAGUGAUGAAGGCCUUAGGGUUGUAAAGCUCUUUCAGCGGGGAAGAUAAUGACGGUACCCGCAGAAGAAGCCCCGGCUAACUUCGCGCCAGCAGCCGCGGUAAUACGAAGGGGGCUAGCGUUGCUCGGAAUCACUGGGCGUAAAGCGCACGUAGGCGGAUCUUUAAGUCAGGGGUGAAAUCCUGGAGCUCAACUCCAGAACUGCCUUUGAUACUGGGGAUCUCGAGUCCGGGAGAGGUGAGUGGAACUCCGAGUGUAGAGGUGAAAUUCGUAGAUAUUCGGAAGAACACCAGUGGCGAAGGCGGCUCACUGGCCCGGUACUGACGCUGAGGUGCGAAAGCGUGGGGAGCAAA
This 397-nucleotide ribosomal RNA is filed under the name uncultured bacterium. Its description in RNAcentral is "bacterial SSU rRNA". It matches the Rfam family "Bacterial small subunit ribosomal RNA", at positions 358 to 772 of the family's 1533-position model. The record is from RNAcentral.